UACUAUACUGAUGAAUAUUAUGAAAAUCUUAAUUAUUAAUAGAUAUGUUCUUUAAAUUUGAAGAAUUUGGCGGUAAUUUAGUCUUGUUAGAGGAACCUGUUUUUGAAUCGAUACUCCACGUAUAAUCUUACUCAUCGUUUUAAAAGCUUAUAUACCAUCAUUAGCAGAUAAUUUUUAAAAAAUUAAUUAUUAAAUUUUAAAGAGAUUAAUUUAAAUUAGAUCAAGGUGUAGCCUAUAGGUGAGUUAAAAUGGGUUACAAUAAAAUUUAUUUAUAACGGAGUAAAUAUAGGAAGAGAAAUUUAUAGAAGGAGGAUUUAAUUGUAAUAUUAGUUUAAUAAGCUAAAAAGAUAUAAGCUCUAAAUUAU
Molecule: ribosomal RNA, 365 nt
Filed under: Rhithropanopeus harrisii
Lineage: Eukaryota; Metazoa; Arthropoda; Malacostraca; Decapoda; Panopeidae
Description: partial 12S ribosomal RNA
Source: RNAcentral